UAAAAGCCUGGUCCUGACUUUAACAUCAGUUGUAACCCAGCUUACACAUGCAAGUACCCGCAACCCCGUGAGAAUGCCCUCUGUCCCCAACAAGGGGAUGAGGAGCCGGCAUCAGGCACACCCAACAGUAGCCCAAAACGCCUUGCUCAGCCACACCCCCAAGGGAACUCAGCAGUGAUAAGUAUUAAGCCAUAAGCGAAAGCUUGACUUAGCUAGGGUUAAAAGAACCGGUAAAACUCGUGCCAGCCACCGCGGUUAUACGAGAGGUUCGAAUUGACAUUUCACGGCGUAAAGCGCGAUUAGAGAAAUUCAAUACUAAAGCUAAAUAAUUCCCAAGCUGUCAUACGCUACCGGAACACAUGAAACCCAACAACGAAGGUGGCUUUAACAAACCUUGAGCUCGCGACAGUUAAGACACAAACUGGGAUUAGAUACCCCACUAUGCUUAACCUUAAACAAUGGUGAAACCAUACAAAAAUCACCCGCCCGGGGACUACGAGCAUUAGCUUAAAACCCAAAGGACUUGGCGGUGCCUCACACCCGCCUAGAGGAGCCUGUUCUAUAACCGAUAAUCCCCGUUAAACCUCACCACCCCUUGCCAAUUCCGCCUAUAUACCGCCGUCGCCAGUUUACCUUCUGAAAGAACAAAAGUAAGCCAAAAGGGUAUUACCCAGAACGUCAGGUCGAGGUGUAGCGAACGGAGUGGGAAGAAAUGGGCUACAUUUUCUGUCUCAGAACACUACGGAAGAUGCAAUGAAAAACGCAGCUGAAGGCGGAUUUAGCAGUAAAAAGAAAAUAGAGAGUUCUUUUGAAGACGGCUCUGAGGCGCGUACACACCGCCCGUCACUCUCCUCGAAAAACACCAAAUAUAAAUAAUAACCUAAAACAACAAAAGAGGAGGCAAGUCGUAACAUGGUAAGUGUACCGGAAGGUGCACUUGGAAAAAU
RNAcentral lists this non-coding RNA (947 nucleotides) under Pythonichthys microphthalmus. Its description in RNAcentral is "12S rRNA". It matches the Rfam family "Bacterial small subunit ribosomal RNA". Lineage: Eukaryota; Metazoa; Chordata; Actinopteri; Anguilliformes; Heterenchelyidae. The record is from RNAcentral.